UACAGAGGUCCCAAGCGUUGUUCGGAUUCAUUGGGCGUAAAGGGUGUGUAGGUGGCGCCGUAAGUCGGGUGUGAAAUCUCGGGGCUUAACUCCGAAACUGCAUUCGAUACUGCGGUGCUUGAGGACUGGAGAGGAGACUGGAAUUCAUGGUGUAGCAGUGAAAUGCGUAGAGAUCAUGAGGAAGACCAGUGGCGAAGGCGGGUCUCUGGACAGUUCCUGACACUGAGACGCGAAGGCCAGGGGAGCAAACGGG
RNAcentral lists this ribosomal RNA (253 nucleotides) under uncultured bacterium. RNAcentral's name for it is "partial 16S ribosomal RNA". It matches the Rfam family "Bacterial small subunit ribosomal RNA", at positions 524 to 776 of the family's 1533-position model. The record is from RNAcentral.